AUUAGACUGAGAUCAAAAGUAGAAAACUGAUGGUACCCAUUUAACAAAUCUUCCAAGCCUUAAAAGAUACUUGUUCCAAAACUCUCAGGGACAUAACGUCGAACAUUUGGUGUGCGUUAUUAUUCGAAACAAAGCUCUUUCAACUUCGUCGCUGCUGAUUCGUCAAUUGAGUACUGCAAAUGAUUGAAAACAAACAAUUAACACAAAGGAUACCUAGAAUCUAUGAUCUGAAAUAAACCCAGAAUCUUCGUUACCUUCAUGGCCGGUUUCGGAGUUUGAUUUGUUUGUGUCUCCGUUUGUACCUGCAAAAUAAUUGAACAAGAAAUUCAACCCAAGUAAACCACCAGAAAAUUCAUAAUCCCAAAAGCACUUAAUAUUAUAAAGAGUAGAGAUAGUUGUUUACAAACAAGAACAAAACCAAAAAUUAAUCGUCGGGUGUUGUUCAGGUUCAGCAGCACAUCCAAAACAACAAAUUCCACAAUCAAAUUGCAAAACAAUAACGUAGAACCCUAAACAAAACACUCCACGAUUCCAAACAAAAUUGCAGAGAUAAAUUCUUUCAAAUCCUGAACAUCACCAUCCAUUAUCCGUUUCCACCUAACUACAAGUAAGGAAAGAAAUCGAAGAACAAGAAGAAGAGCUUCAUGAUUAAUUUUCACCUAACUACCCAAAUUGGAUUUCGAUCAAUCUCUAACUGUAAUCGAAAGCCCAGGGAGAUCGUAAUUCCAAAGAGAGAAUCGAGGAAACAAGAAAAAAUCGCGGCCAAUAGAAACGGGACACGUCAGCGUCUCUCUUCCCUUCCAAAAUCUCUCUCAAGAGAGACAGUUCUCUUAAAAAUAUAUCAUUUUGAUUUAUUUUUUUACACUUUUAAUCU
Molecule: long non-coding RNA, 874 nt
Filed under: Arabidopsis lyrata
Lineage: Eukaryota; Viridiplantae; Streptophyta; Magnoliopsida; Brassicales; Brassicaceae
Description: long non-coding RNA (ALYR_LNC000368)
Source: RNAcentral